Cloeon dipterum is the source of this 2226-nucleotide long non-coding RNA. RefSeq lists it as uncharacterized. The transcript is spliced from 3 exons. The record is from RefSeq and is a predicted model, not a curated record. NCBI's taxonomy places the organism in Eukaryota, Metazoa, Arthropoda, Insecta, Ephemeroptera, Baetidae.
AGGAGGAGCCUUUUUCCAAGAGGAAAAGAAGAAUCCUUUUGAUGCUGAUUGCAUCAGCUUUGAUCUGUUUUCGGGCACCCAGAUGGACGGCUGGAAAGAAAAUGUUUGCUGUGCAGCCUUCAAUAAGGUCUGAUGUAACUACAACUAGAGAUAAAUAAUUUAACAAGGGACGUUCACCGGGCAGCUAGAUCUACUACUUGGCCAGAUUUAACAAGCAGGACAGCACGUCAUGGUACCAAGUGCAUGCUGAGACACAAGGGCACUGCACGACACUACGAGUUGCAGCCGAAGCCAAUACAGAUGUUUCUGCGCGGUCUGCUCGUCUUCCGAACAAGAAUGCAGAAGCGAGGCCAGGAAGAGCAAAAGAAAAAGAACGUUCACCAUUUAUGUAAGCCCUUGGUGUUCUAAGCAGCCAGUUGGACAUUGCACAGUAGUAGGACUUGAGUCUCAAGUCAAAGCAUAAUUAAAGCAUUUAAAAAAACAUGCUGGAGCAAUCCUCUCUCUGGUGGCUUUGAACACCAAGGGCAUCCGCAAAUGGUGAAUUUUCGCUUCCCAAUUUUGUAAAAUUGUUCAGUUCAAAUUGAAGAAAUUUAUAAGGUAAAUCAAAUAGCUAUGCUGUGAGGAAAGAAGUGUUUUCUCGUACACUGUACAGCAGCAGUUUCAGCCUUCCUUCUCAACAUGUAUACUUCACCUCUAAAACACAUUCAAAUAUACGCAUUACCAUAUUGAUUUGGGUAGCCGAAACAGCUGCUUCACUGUACAUGAACAUAAAAUCUUUUUAUAUUUCAUAAAUAUUUUAAUUAUCACUACAAGAUGAAAUAAUCCAGACUUAGUUUCCCACGCUAGAGCCAUUCAGAUUUCAUUAUAUUCAUGAUUACAUCUCAUCAUUGUGUUUUUAAUUUUGUUUUACUGUGAAUUAUUGUUAAAGAAUUAACCAAUUGCGAAAGAUUAAGUGUUUGAAGCUGUAAACGGAUCGCGCCACUGUCUAAAACCGUGUACUUCUGAUAUAAAGUUCUCAAUCCUGCUGCUUAUGCAUUCUGCUCGUAAAAUGAAUUAUUUGUAAGUGUUGAAACUCAAAAUAAGUCCAGCCAAUCAACACAGCAUCGCGAGAAACAUAUUUUGCCAUGAAAAAGUCAUUCCCGGCAAUUCUGUUUGCGGCGAUUGGCUGGGCUGAAUUUUCUUUCAGCAUACAUCCAAAGAAAUCUAAAUAGCAGGAUGCAUAUGAUAGCAGGAAUAAUUCUAAUAAGUGUUUUCAAAUGAAAAUUAACUGUUGGUGCCAUUUAUUUACAGCUUAAAAACUAUUUGUAUGAGACUUUCGCAACUGUUAAAAUUGUAGGGAACAUUUUCAAGCUAAUUACGCUUACUUGGUGUGAUAUAAAGUAUUGUAGCUAUAUACUUCAAUUUAAUUGGCAGAUCUCAAUUGACUAGUUGUAUAAACCCGGUGUUCGAAGCCGUCAACGGAUGGCGCAACCAUAGACUUUCUUAAAACUUUAAUUUUUAAGGCACAUCCGUUGCGAUUUCAGACUCAAUCUAGCUACCGUGCAUUCUUAAUUAAUUAUGCUCACUUUUGAUGUGCUGAAAACUAAAAUCAGUCUAGCCGUUCGUCGUAGGAACGUUAGAAAACAUUUUUUUAUUUCAAAAAAUAGUUUUUCACGUUUCUACGGCGAUUGGCUUAACCGAUUUUCGUUUUGAGCGCGUCAAAAGAAAGCAUUUAUUUAAUUAAGAACGCACGGUAGCUAGAUUGAGUCUGAAAUUGCAGCGGAAGUGCCUAAAAACUAAUAUUUAAGUCUCUGGUUUCGCCAUCAAUAGGCGGCUUCGAACACUAACGGUUAAUAAAACUGGUCAAUGAAAAAGAAAACUGUGUAUUUAUAGUUAAAAUGUAUGUUAUGUUUUGAAAUGAAUAAAAUAUUUAUUGAAUUUUGAAAGAAUAGAACCAAUGGAUUUAAUUUUGAAAUUCAGCCUUGAUUCUUUGUUGAUUUGGUCUUGACGUCAAGGAAAACAAACUUAAGUUAAAAACGUGAUUAACCGAAAAACAAUGCGAAAAAAGUGAAAUACCCGCAAGGGGAAUUUUUGGCUGACUUUGAAAUUCAAGAUUGAUUCAAGUCUGGAUCAAAGAAAAAAAGGACCAUUCCAGAUAUUGAAUCAAUCUUGACGUCAACCUUGAAUCAGAUUUGACGCCCUUGAAUGUCAGCCUUGAUUCAAUUUUGAAUCAGCAUUGAGUGGUUA